RNAcentral lists this ribosomal RNA (468 nucleotides) under uncultured bacterium. RNAcentral's name for it is "partial 16S ribosomal RNA". It matches the Rfam family "Bacterial small subunit ribosomal RNA", at positions 28 to 507 of the family's 1533-position model. The record is from RNAcentral.
GAUGAACGCUGGCGGCGUGCUUAACACAUGCAAGUCGAACGGAAAGGCGCUGCUCUUGUUGGUUGCUCGAGUGGCGAAGGGGGGAGUAACACGUGAGUAAACUGCCCCUGACUGUGUGAGAACUUCUGGAAACUGGGGCGAAUAUCGGGUAUGAGCUCUUGCUGCACGGUGUGGGAUGGUAAGAGACGGCGGUUGGGGCUGGUUUCGCGGGUUAUGCGCUAGUUGGUGAGGUAGUGGCUUCCAAAGGCUUUGAAGGGUAGCCGGCCUGGGAGGGUGGACGGGCACAUGGGGACUGCGGUACGGCCCAGUCUCCUACGGGACGCAGCGGUGGGGAAUAUUGCGCAAUGGGCGGAAGCCUGAUGUGGCAACGCUGCGUGCGGAAUACCGGCCUUCGGGUUGUAAACAGCUUUCGAAUUUAACAAGGAGUGCGUGACGGUACUGGGUCAAGAAGCACCGGCUAACUACGUG